AAGAAAAAAAAAAAAUACGUAAUGGUGUCUUGCUAGAUUGGUAUCUAAUUCAUUCUAUGUGAAUUUUUUGCAACGAGCUAGGUCCGCUAUAACCGAAAAGGCCUUUGAUGCCUGCAAGUGGUACUUGAGGGAAAUCUAUUGCCAAGUACAUGCAUGGUGAUGGUUCUAGCUAUACACGUACAGAAGUGGCAUGGGAUGAUGAACUUAAUUCAAGGACUGAGCCUAGUACGUCAAGCUUGGGGUUCAAAUCAUCAAGCUCGUAAACCUCAUUUUCUUGAUCCAAGAGGUACACACCAGCAGUGAUGUACAUUCUUAUAGUGAGCACUGAUCGACAUUGGCCUGGGCUGCUUGAUGUUUAAUAUAUUAGGUUCCUGAAUGAAAAAACCUCCUGGCUAUGAAGUGAUGAUAUGAGAAAAUGUUAUUGAUCAAUAGUCACUGUUUAUACUUUUCCCAAACUCUAUGAGUUAUUAGUAUAUAGUAUAUAGAGAAGCGUAGUUCGGUCGAUGUUUCUUAAUUAUUCUCAACCUAUCUAUAUACUCUUGUAAUUUACAUUUUCUAAUCAAUGAAAUUAAUAGUCACAAUUUAGCCCGCUCCAUCUUGUUUAUGCGAUUUAUUGCUUUUCCUUUAAUUCCUGCAUUUCGAUUUCAAUAAACUUGCUCGAUAGCUUUCAAAUAAGAAGGGGAUCAAACAAUUUCAAAUAGUAUUAUCUCCUCGUCAUGCUACUCUCUGAGUCUCAAUAGUGCGUUGAGGUUCGUGGGCAAUUUACAGCAAUGUAGAUAGGGCUGGGCACGGGACGGGAUGGGCCGGGAUUUGGUGAAUCAUGUCCCGUUCUGAAAAUAAAAAAACGGGACGGGACGGGACGGGAAUGCGUUUUUAGAAAUCUGUCCCGUACGUCCCAAUCCCGUUUGGAACCGGGACGGGAUCGAGAUCCCGAAAAAUUAACCCUAAAAAAAAACCUGAAAAUAAUCAAAAUAUCUAUCUCUAAAUUAUUAUCUUUCUCAUCUUUGUCAUCAAUUUCGGCAUAGAAGAAGUGGGAGAAGGAGGAGGAGAAGUGGGAGAAGAUGAAGAUGGGGGCUUUGCGGUAGGAGCCGAAGAGGUUGUCGCUGGAGUGGGAAUCAUCGUCGUCUCCAUAGAAGAAGUCGUCGUCGAGGGUUCAGACGCGGGUGAGGUGGAGGAAGCUGCGGUGGUGGAGAGAUCGAGGCGGGAGAGGAGGAGGAGUCUGCGGGGGUGGGGGAAGAUCGGGAGGCGGCGAGGUCAAGGCGGGAGAGGAGGAGGAGUCUGCGGGGGUGGGGGAAUAUCGAGUGGCGACAAGGUCGAGGCGGGAGAGGAGGGACUUGAGGGAGGGGUCGCGGUCGAUGAAGGCGGUGAGGAGGUGGGUGCCAUUUUUGACGACGGUGCGGAAGGAGAAGAUGAGGAGGGAGAGGAAAAGGAAGGUGAGGAGGUUGGAGGCGGAGAAGGAGAAGGCUUGCCGGAGGAGCUGCGGCGUCGGUUUGAGGUGGUGGAGACGCGGGUGGUGGUGGUGGUCGCUCAUUUCUUUACCGGUGAAACAUUUUUUUUUUUUGGUUUGAGGGGUUUCUGUUUGUUUUUUUGUUUUGUUUUUGGGUGGAUCUGCGUGGGAGAGAAGAGAAGAGCAUGUGUGUGUUGCAGUGGGGGGGAUGGUUUUGUAUAUAAAAUGAUUAAAAUUAGGUGUUCUAAUAUUACGGGACGGGACAUAAUUUUUCGGGAUAGUCCCGAUCCCGUCCCAUCCCGUUUCAACACUACCAUAACGGGACGGGACGGGACGGGAUUGCCAUUUUCAAAACCUAUCCCGUCCCGUCCCGCUAACUUUCGGGACAGGACCGAUACGGGAUCGGAAUUCCGGUACUAAGUGCCCAGCCCUAAAUGUAGGGCAACCAGAUGGAUCACUCCUUGAAUUCAUAUAUAGUUGAUUGAUGAUGAGAAAUCUUUUAAUUUGUAGCUAGGUCAGACGUCACUUUCUCAUUCACGAUCGAGUAAGAUGAAACCAAUUUACCAAUCCACAUUUGAAGCUAGUUUGUCUUUAAACACAGAUUAAAAAAGGCAACGAAUAUAUCUAACUACAAAGGACACAAGCUAGGGUUCGAUUUUAAUUAUUUGAUAAACAUAAUAAUAACAAAUAAAAUGGUACGUACGUACUCUCAUUCUACGAUAGGAUCUCGAUCGAGGUAACAUAUUGUCGUUUGAGGAAGAAUAAUUAAGCUAAUAAUCCAGCACUCCAAUCUAAGCCAUUAAAAAUACUCCAAUAUAUAUGUAGCAUGAUACAAACAAAAACAUCAACACAAAAUACAUGUAUCAGACGUGGAAUGAUAAUAUUCCACGUUCAAUUAUAUGUAAGUAUUAGGCUCAUAUAUUCAAAAGGCACAGAUGUGGCCUCAUCAUGCAUGCACCAGUUCUACCGUCUUAUAGCGCUUAAUUAUCUUUUGG
This 2442-nucleotide long non-coding RNA is filed under the name Fragaria vesca (wild strawberry). RNAcentral describes it as "long non-coding RNA (FVES_LNC003766)". Lineage: Eukaryota; Viridiplantae; Streptophyta; Magnoliopsida; Rosales; Rosaceae. The record is from RNAcentral.